This is a long non-coding RNA of Planococcus citri (citrus mealybug), 388 nucleotides long. RefSeq lists it as uncharacterized. The record is from RefSeq and is a predicted model, not a curated record. The transcript has 3 exons. Lineage: Eukaryota; Metazoa; Arthropoda; Insecta; Hemiptera; Pseudococcidae.
UACCUAGUAUCUGCAUUUCCACCUUAUAAAUACUUUCAGCUCUGGCCAUCAAUUCGUAUUUGAACGCUUUUUACUAGUAAUUUGAGUCAAGUGGUACUCCGCGUUUAAAAUUUUUAUAUUCGUUGUAUUUGAAUAACUUCAAAUUUUCUUAAUCAAAAUGCCUGACCCGUGUUGUGGAGGAAAAGGAUCGAGCUCGACCUCUUGCCAAUGUGGAAGCGACUGUAAAUGUACCUCGGGAUCCGGAUGCGGAUGCAAGGGAGGUAAAUGCUGCAAGUAGGAAGGAGUCCUCAACAUGUAUACAAGUUCGCUUGAAAAUUCGUAAACAAGAUGGAACUCAAUAAAAUGAGGAAACAUAUUAUGUCGUAAUAAAUAUUUUUAACUUGUAAAA